GGGAACGUAGCUCAGUGGUAGAGCGCUUGCCUUGUAUGCAUGAGGCCCUGGGUUCAAUUCCUCAGUACCA
RNAcentral lists this transfer RNA (70 nucleotides) under Dipodomys ordii (Ord's kangaroo rat). It matches the Rfam family "tRNA". From Rfam's summary of the family: Transfer RNA (tRNA) molecules are approximately 80 nucleotides in length. Their secondary structure includes four short double-helical elements and three loops (D, anti-codon, and T loops). The record is from Rfam by way of RNAcentral. Lineage: Eukaryota; Metazoa; Chordata; Mammalia; Rodentia; Heteromyidae.